RNAcentral lists this ribosomal RNA (995 nucleotides) under uncultured organism. RNAcentral describes it as "bacterial SSU rRNA". It matches the Rfam family "Bacterial small subunit ribosomal RNA", at positions 356 to 1376 of the family's 1533-position model. The record is from RNAcentral.
GGGGGAUAUUGCACAAUGGGGGAAACCCUGAUGCAGCGACGCCGCGUGGAGGAAGAAGGUUUUCGGAUUGUAAACUCCUGUCGUUAGGGACGAUAAUGACGGUACCUAACAAGAAAGCACCGGCUAACUACGUGCCAGCAGCCGCGGUAAAACGUAGGGUGCAAGCGUUGUCCGGAAUUACUGGGUGUAAAGGGAGCGCAGGCGGACCGGCAAGUUGGAAGUGAAAACUAUGGGCUCAACCCAUAAAUUGCUUUCAAAACUGCUGGCCUUGAGUAGUGCAGAGGUAGGUGGAAUUCCCGGUGUAGCGGUGGAAUGCGUAGAUAUCGGGAGGAACACCAGUGGCGAAGGCGACCUACUGGGCACCAACUGACGCUGGGGCUCGAAAGCAUGGGUAGCAAACAGGAUUAGAUACCCUGGUAGUCCAUGCCGUAAACGAUGAUUACUAGGUGUUGGAGGAUUGACCCCUUCAGUGCCGCAGUUAACACAAUAAGUAAUCCACCUGGGGAGUACGACCGCAAGGUUGAAACUCAAAGGAAUUGACGGGGGCCCGCACAAGCAGUGGAGUAUGUGGUUUAAUUCGAAGCAACGCGAAGAACCUUACCAGGUCUUGACAUCCGAUGCAUAGCUUAGAGAUAAGUGAAGUCCUUCGGGACAUCGAGACAGGUGGUGCAUGGUUGUCGUCAGCUCGUGUCGUGAGAUGUUGGGUUAAGUCCCGCAACGAGCGCAACCCUUAUCAUUAGUUGCUACGCAAGAGCACUCUAAUGAGACUGCCGUUGACAAAACGGAGGAAGGUGGGGAUGACGUCAAAUCAUCAUGCCCUUUAUGACCUGGGCUACACACGUACUACAAUGGCGUUUAACAAAGAGAAGCAAAGCCGCGAGGCAGAGCAAAUCUCCAAAAAACGUCUCAGUUCGGAUUGUAGGCCGCAACUCGCCUACAUGAAGUCGGAAUUGCUAGUAAUCGUAGGUCAGCAUACUACGGUGAAUACGUUCCCG